GCCUUCGUGGUGUAGUGGUCAGCACACUCGGAGGGUAUUCGAGUGGUCCAUGGUUCGAGUCUCGGCGAUGGCA
Non-coding RNA from Stegodyphus mimosarum, 73 nucleotides. The record is from Rfam. NCBI's taxonomy places the organism in Eukaryota, Metazoa, Arthropoda, Arachnida, Araneae, Eresidae.